This 497-nucleotide ribosomal RNA is filed under the name uncultured bacterium. Its description in RNAcentral is "partial 16S ribosomal RNA". It matches the Rfam family "Bacterial small subunit ribosomal RNA", at positions 29 to 507 of the family's 1533-position model. The record is from RNAcentral.
UAUGAACGCUGGCGGCUUGCCUAAUACAUGCAAGUCGAGCGAGCGGACGCGAAGCUUGCUUCUCUGGUGUUAUCGCCGGACGGGUGCUUCACACGUGUAUAGCCUACCUCUACGACUGGGGUACCUUCGGGAGACCGUAGCUAAUACCGUAUGAUAUUUUGACCCGCAUUGUUCCAGCGUGGAAUUCGGUCUUGCUUUCCCUUAUAGCUGAAUCCGCGCUCCAUUAGCUAGUUGUUAGCGUAACGGCUUACCAAGGCAACGAUGCAUAUCCGACCUAAACGGGUCAUCGCCCACACGGUAACAGAGACACGGUCGAGACACCUGCGGGAGGCAGCAGUAGGGAAUCCUCCGCAAUGGGCGAAUGGCUGACGGAGCAAAGCGGCGUGAGUGAUGAACGUCUUCUGAUCGUAAAACUCUGUUAUUAGGGAAGAACAAAAGUGUAAGUAACUGUGAACAUCUUGACGGUACCUAAUCAGAAAGCCACGGCUAACUCCGUG